AGAUUGAACGCUAGCGGGAUGCUUUACACAUGCAAGUCGAACGGCAGCGCGGACUUCGGUCUGGCGGCGAGUGGCGAACGGGUGAGUAAUAUAUCGGAACGUGCCCAGUAGCGGGGGAUAACUACGCGAAAGCGUGGCUAAUACCGCAUACGCCCUACGGGGGAAAGGGGGGAUCGCAAGACCUCUCACUAUUGGAGCGGCCGAUAUCGGAUUAGCUAGUUGGUGGGGUAAAGGCUCACCAAGGCUUCGAUCCGUAGCUGGUUUGAGAGGACGACCAGCCACACUGGGACUGAGACACGGUCCAGACUCCUACGGGAGGCAGCAGUGGGGAAUAUUGGACAAGUGGGACGAAAGCCUAGGAUCCCAGCCAUGCCGCGUGUGUGAAGAGGUCUUCGGAUUGUAAAGCACGUUUAAGUGGAGGAAGGGCAAGUAAAUUAAUACUUUGCUUAGUUUGACGUUACGACAGAAUAAGCACCGCUAACUCUAGUGU
RNAcentral lists this ribosomal RNA (490 nucleotides) under uncultured soil bacterium. RNAcentral's name for it is "bacterial SSU rRNA". It matches the Rfam family "Bacterial small subunit ribosomal RNA", at positions 26 to 508 of the family's 1533-position model. The record is from RNAcentral.